CUAGGAUUACAGAAUUUCACCUCUACCCCAGGAGUACCUCUAGCCUCUCCCGGUCCCAAGUUGAACAGUCUACCCGGAAUUCGUACGGUUAAGCCGUACGAUUUACCCAGGCAUUUAUAGAACCGGCUACGGACGUUUUAGGCCCAAUAAUAACGGCCACCACUUGGGCUGCAGGUAUUACCGC
This 184-nucleotide ribosomal RNA is filed under the name uncultured marine group III euryarchaeote. Its description in RNAcentral is "partial 16S ribosomal RNA". Lineage: Archaea; Methanobacteriati; Thermoplasmatota; Thermoplasmata; Candidatus Thermoprofundales. The record is from RNAcentral.